This 301-nucleotide ribosomal RNA is filed under the name uncultured bacterium. RNAcentral's name for it is "partial 16S ribosomal RNA". It matches the Rfam family "Bacterial small subunit ribosomal RNA", at positions 508 to 808 of the family's 1533-position model. The record is from RNAcentral.
CAGGCAGCCGCGGUAAUACGAAGGGGGCUAGCGUUGCUCGGAAUUACUGGGCGUAAAGGGAGCGUAGGCGGACAUUUAAGUCAGGGGUGAAAUCCCGGGGCUCAACCUCGGAAUUGCCUUUGAUACUGGGUGUCUUGAGUAUGAGAGAGGUAUGUGGAACUCCGAGUGUAGAGGUGAAAUUCGUAGAUAUUCGGAAGAACACCAGUGGCGAAGGCGACAUACUGGCUCAUUACUGACGCUGAGGCUCGAAAGCGUGGGGAGCAAACAGGAUUAGAUACCCCGGUAGUCCCUGUCUCUUAUA